This 131-nucleotide small nucleolar RNA is filed under the name Mola mola (ocean sunfish). Its description in RNAcentral is "Small nucleolar RNA SNORA24 (ENSMMOG00000016540.1)". Lineage: Eukaryota; Metazoa; Chordata; Actinopteri; Tetraodontiformes; Molidae. The record is from RNAcentral.
GUCCACGUUACCAUGGGAGCUGUGUUUUUUAAUGGCAGUCUCCCUUCCUAGGCGUGGUACAGCAAAUCCUUUCUCUUAUUCAGAUGCUCUCUUGUGCUGUUGUCACAAGCGGCAGGAUAUAAGAAGGAACA